Dermochelys coriacea (leatherback sea turtle) is the source of this 4731-nucleotide RNA transcript. It is a transcript of the gene named lamin B receptor, with no coding region annotated. The transcript is spliced from 13 exons. The record is from RefSeq and is a predicted model, not a curated record. NCBI's taxonomy places the organism in Eukaryota, Metazoa, Chordata, Testudines, Dermochelyidae.
CUCGCAGGAAGGGGCGGGGCUGCGGCCGAAGCUUCGCGCGCCCGCGGCCCUGUAACCGUCGCUCAGGGUGGUGGUUUAUCGUAGCUCGUCGACGCUCGGCUCGGCUCGGCUCGGCCCGGCCCGGCUGUGCCAGGCCAGGUGGGGGCGGCCGCCCAGGAUUCUUUUGGAAAAUGCCAAACAGAAGAUUUGCGGUUGGUGAGGUGGUGAUGGGUCGUUGGCCAGGAAGUGUCCUCUAUUAUGAAGUACAAAUAACUAGCUAUAAUGACCUCACUCACUUUUACACUGUUCAGUACAAAGAUGGAACUGAGCUUGAGUUGAGGGAAAGCGAUAUAAGGUCUGUGUCAUCAUUUAAACCUCGAAAAAGCAAUUCUUCCUCAAGUUCUCCUUCCAGACGCAGUGGUAGCAGAUCCAGAUCUCGUUCUCCUGGUCGAUCAGCAAAAGGCAAACGUCGUUCUUCCUCCCAAAGCAGAGAAUCUAGGGAUGAGAAAAAGAAAACAGUUCGGGAAACUAACUUAACUCUUCUGAAACUGAAUGAGAACAACACUAGCAGGUACAAUGGUGAACCUGAUAGUACAGAAAGGAAUGACACUUCCUACAAAAUAUUACAGAAAGUUGAAUCAGAGCUAGAAAUUGGGCAUGUGCUUGACCAGUAUACCUUACAUCCAAGAAGACACAAGAAGAAGGAAGAAAUAUUUUUGGAAGAGAGAGUUUUUGAGACAGCAAAAACUACUGAAAAAGUAUCAACACAAACAAAGGAGCUAGAGUUUGGUGGAAGAAUUGGGGCCUUUUGCAUGAUAUUUUUCCUGCCUGCCACUGUAUUUUAUUUGCUGUUGAAGUGCAAACAGGAAGACCCUAGUGUUAUGAACUUCCCUCCUUUGCCAGCAUUUGAUAGUUUAUGGGAGACCAGAGUGUUCGGUGUCUUUCUUCUGUGGUUCUUUCUUCAAGCUCUGUUUUCCUUACUGCCAGUUGGAAAGGUUGUAGAAGGAAUGCCACUUUUGAAUGGAAGAAGACUACAGUACAGAAUAAAUGGAUUUUAUGCUUUUGUCCUGACUGCUGCCGCUGUUGGAAAUUCUUUAUAUUUUGAAAUUGAGCUUCAUUAUUUAUAUGACCAUUUCCUGCAGUUUGCAGUCUCUGCUGCAAUUUUUUCUGUGUUGUUGAGCAUUUAUCUCUAUGCCCUGUCCCUGAAAGCACCUAAGGAAGAACUGUCACCUGGUGGAAAUUCUGGGAACUUUGUUUAUGACUUGUUCAUUGGACGUGAAUUAAACCCUCGCAUUGGAAAUUUUGACCUCAAAUACUUCUGUGAGUUGCGUCCAGGCUUAAUUGGCUGGGUUGUUAUUAACUUGGCAAUGCUGUUGGCUGAGAUGAAGGUACAAGAUCGUAAUGAGCCAUCUUUGUCAAUGAUCCUGGUUAAUAGUUUCCAACUUCUCUAUGUGGUGGAUGCUCUUUGGAAUGAGGAAGCUAUCUUGACUACAAUGGACAUUACCCACGAUGGGUUUGGGUUCAUGCUAGCAUUUGGAGAUUUGGUAUGGAUUCCAUUCAUCUACAGUUUACAAGCCUUCUAUUUAGUCAAUCAUCCUACUGAAAUUUCUUGGCUUAUUGCUUCUGCAAUUAUUAUUCUGAAUAUCUUUGGGUAUUACAUUUUCCGUGGUGCAAACUCACAGAAAAAUGCAUUUCGGAGGAAUCCAAAUGAUCCCAAAUUGGCUCGUAAGUAUCUUUUGGCUAACUUAAUGUUCAGUUUUUUACUACUAUCCAUACAAUAUCUCUCAAUUAUGUACUCUAUACAUGCACAUUUUAAAUGUUAUUUUUUACCCUACUUUCUGUACGCAGACUUGAAAUGUAUUCCCACUGCAGCUGGAAAAAGUCUUCUAGUCACAGGCUGGUGGGGCUUGGUUCGUCAUCCUAACUAUCUAGGUGAUAUUAUCAUGGCUCUGGCUUGGUCCCUACCAUGUGGUAAGAUCCUGAAACUAAACUGCUUGCUAUUAAAAACUUGUGCAUGUGUUUUGGCAACUGACUUCCAUUUUCUAAUUUGCCAAUGAUUAUUUAAGAUGCUAGACUGCCUGUAAUUAACAGAAAGUUAAAUUCAGUGUCAUAAACCUGAUUUGACAUCUGGUGUCCCACUAUAUAACCCCUUUGAACCAGGUUUAGAUCUUGGAUAAACUUCUGACUCCUCCUGCUCUACCUAUGCUCUUCUGGGGAUGGCUGACUGGUGAGCCCCUUCUUCAUUCAUUUGUCCUGAGGCUGCCAGCUGGGCUAUGAUAUUUUUACAAAUGGAGCUAGAGAAAGUACUUCUUUAGUAGGCAGAGUUUCCCGCUGCUUAGGGACAGGCAUCCCCAGAUUCGGCAGGAUCUCAAAACAGUACAUCCAAAUGAAUUGAUGUGAGAGCAAACACACAUGAAGGGGGCUAUGUGUUGAACUCCUGUAACUGAGCAUUAUUUUUUUAAACUCCAAAGGUUAUGCGUUAGAAUUAGAAUGCAGCUAAAAUUGAGCAAAUCUUCCACAAUGAAAAAUGUUUCAGUUAAAAAUCCAAACUUCAGAAAGUAUGGAAAUUCAACAUUUAGCUUCAAAUAUAAAUUAUUUCAGCUUUUAAAUAUUUUGACUAUAGUGAAGUUCACCUAAAGAGCACUGUCAGCAGUCUUUCUUAUCUUAAAUUUGGAGAUCUAGAUAGGGAGGAUACUUCACCUUUGCAUUUCCUUGCUUUUUUAUGCCUCUCACAAUACUAUAAUGUUCUCUCAAUGCAUUUUUCUGCCUGAAUCUCCCUAUUGCUUUAGUCUACAGGAAGUGUGCAUCUGUGAGCUUUAAUGCAAAAUUACUCGCUUUAAGCAUUGUAAAAUUUGUCACAUGCGUACAUAAAACAGAGAGAGCAGGUUUCCAAAUUAAAACAUGCCUGCUUCCUUGUACCUGUCCUCCAAAAGCAAACUGUUAGUUCGUAGUAUAGACAAACUGUUAUGGCACAUUUUGCAGGCAAUCUUGGUAUAUCCUAUUAUUGAGUGCUAAGAAGAUGUUCAGUGCUGUACAAAUAGAUGCAAUCUCUUUGAAGAUGCUCACAGGCCAGAGCAGGCACAUGCCAUACAGUUCAGUAUAGAUAAGAUGAUGUGUUUUGUAUAAUGUUUGACCUUAUGGUUGGAACCCGAUACCUGUAUCAUGACUUGUAUUUCAAGGUUUUUACUCUAACUCUGAAUACCAGCAUAUUAUUCUGAGUUUUGCUAUAUGUACAAUGACUUUCCAAUUGUGUUCUACAGGUUUUAAUCAUAUUUUGCCAUAUUUCUACAUGAUUUAUUUCACCUGCUUGCUUAUUCAUCGAGAAGCUCGUGAUGAACAUCAGUGUAAGAAAAAAUAUGGCCUGGCAUGGGAAAGAUACUGUCAACGUGUACCAUACCGUAUAUUUCCUUACAUCUACUAAGGGAAUACGAUUUCCAUCCAGCUCAUUUUUCUUCAAUCACUUGCUGGUUCCCAGCGGUGAGAAGCUAAAAACCAUAGUCCUGCAUUCAGUGAUAAAUGGAAGGUAUUAUAAGGUGUGGUGUGUAGUACGCACUCUGAAGUAAAAUAGCUACAGUGUGUUUGCUCUGAAUUUUGUAAAAUAGCUCUUAAUGUACCAUAGGAUCCAUUGACUGUAUUAUAAAACCUUCACAUUUUUGCUGUACAGUGUUUGAGAAUGUGAGAUACAAUAGCUUUUUUUUUAGGAACAGGGAGAAACUAAAACCAUUUCCAGUAUUUUUUUAAAAAAAUGUUCUUAAGGAUUUUGUAAAGUAAUGUAUUGAUUGUCUCAAAGAUUAAUUGAAGUGUUCAUUUAAAUAUUGUUGGCAAAUAUGCUAUGAAAAUGUAGAAAAUAUGUUCAAUCCAAAGUUUGUGAAUCUGGCAUUACUACUACCUCAAAUGUAGGUUUUGCCUUUUAUACUGUUGCAAAUAGCUAAGUUUUUUCAGUAUUUCUAUUUAAAUCAAUUUUUAUGUGAAUCUUUGUCACAUUCUAAUAUAUUUUUGUAUAUAUUUGACUUUUUUUUAACUAGCAUGUAUAUUUCUUAGCUACUUCUGUCAGUUAUGGUCUUUAUAUCCCAAGAAUGGAAUUCUAUCCCACUGCAAAGGCUUAAUUUUUAUUUGAUUAACUGUAAGUGGGUAAUUUUUAAUAAGGCUGAGAGAGUGCUGAAGUAAUUUUGCAUUAAUGAACCUUGGGGAACUAGUUUUGUCCUGCUUGUCUUUCAGUUGAUAGCUUUUUCCAGAUACUAAAAUUUAGUUAGUCAUUGGUCUUGAAUUUUAAUUGCACUGUGGAGGGAAAUUAGGUACUCCAUAGUCAGGGUUUCUAUCAAACUACAAAUUUUAAAAAUGUUGAAUAGUUGGAUGUUUUAAAAAUAGUGAUAAUUGAAAAGCUAGUGUUUUGGGGUUUUUUUUAAAUGCACUGAGAGUCCUUUUAGUGAAUAUAGCAUAACUUGUUCAACAUGAUCAUGACAGCUUCAGCAGGUCCAGGUGGUUGCUGUUGUAAGGAGAAUAUUUUAACACCAAAUAUUUUGAUUCUUGGAAAAAACAUGUGGUUACAAGUACCACUCUUUUUAGUGAGGUUAAAUUAUGCUACUGAAAAAUAAACUAGCAACCUUUCUACAGUCGGCAUGCUGUUCCUCAGAGACAUGGGUAUAUAUCAACUGCAAUUUGUUCUGUAUGCUCAUAUUUUUGAUGUAAAAUUGAUUCUUAAGUAGAGUUUUAUACAACCUGUAAACUGAAAUAAAAUUGUUUUAAAAGUGA